GGAAAUGCGAUGACGAGAAGAGUAAGGGAAUAACGUUCUCAAACAGAGAGCUCCGGAAGCUGAGAAGGAGCGGAGAACCAUUCCACGAAACAAGCCUCUGAGCAGCAUGACGGAUCCUUACGGGUGAUGGCAUGACGGGAGCUCCCGUUACAGAGCUAGAGUAUAACCAUUGCAUGCAAUGCCGUACUUGAAGAGGUUAAUAUGGCGACAUAUUAACAAACUGGGGUGGCACCGCGGAACUUCGUCCCCAAG
This 252-nucleotide non-coding RNA is filed under the name Paenibacillus sp. Its description in RNAcentral is "T-box sequence". It matches the Rfam family "T-box leader". Rfam says of the family: Uncharged tRNA acts as the effector for transcription antitermination of genes in the T-box leader family. The record is from RNAcentral. Lineage: Bacteria; Bacillati; Bacillota; Bacilli; Caryophanales; Paenibacillaceae.